Molecule: ribosomal RNA, 375 nt
Filed under: uncultured Smithella sp.
Lineage: Bacteria; Pseudomonadati; Thermodesulfobacteriota; Syntrophia; Syntrophales; Smithellaceae
Description: bacterial SSU rRNA
Rfam family: Bacterial small subunit ribosomal RNA
Source: RNAcentral
CACAAAAGUGCCUUUCGGGGUAACCAGGAGACAGGUGCUGCAUGGCUGUCGUCAGCUCGUGUCCGUGAGAUGUUGGGUUAAGUCCCGCAACGAGCGCAACCCUUAUCUUUAAUUGCCAGCAUUCAGUUGGGCACUUUAAAGAGACUGCCGGUGUUUAAACCGGAGGAAGGUGGGAUGACGUCAAGUCCUCAUGGCCUUUAUGCUUAGGGCUACACACGUGCUACAAUGGGUGGUACAAAGAGAAGCCAACUCGCGAGAGCGCGCCAAUCUCAAAAGCCAUCCUCAGUUCGGAUUGGAGUCUGCAACUCGACUCCAUGAAGUUGGAAUCGCUAGUAAUCGCGGAUCAGCAUGCCGCGGUGAAUACGUUCCGGCCUU